GACGAACGCUGGCGGCGUGCUUAACACAUGCAAGUCGAACGGAAAGGCCCUGCUUUUGUGGGGUGCUCGAGUGGUGAACGGGUGAGUAACACGUGAGUAACCUGCCCUUGACUUUGGGAUAACUUCAGGAAACUGGGGCUAAUACCGGAUAGGGGCUCCUGCUGCAUGGUGGGGGUUGGAAAGUUUCGGCGGUUGGGGAUGGACUCGCGGCUUAUCAGCUUGUUGGUGGGGUAGUGGCUUACCAAGGCUUUGACGGGUAGCCGGCCUGAGAGGGUGACCGGCCACAUUGGGACUGAGAUACGGCCCAGACUCCUACGGGAGGCAGCAGUGGGGAAUAUUGCACAAUGGGCGGAAGCCUGAUGCAGCAACGCCGCGUGCGGGAUGACGGCCUUCGGGUUGUAAACCGCUUUCGCCUGUGACGAAGCGUGAGUGACGGUAAUGGGUAAAGAAGCACCGGCUAACUACGUG
Molecule: ribosomal RNA, 468 nt
Filed under: uncultured bacterium
Lineage: Bacteria
Description: partial 16S ribosomal RNA
Rfam family: Bacterial small subunit ribosomal RNA
Source: RNAcentral